GAUUUUUGCUUUGAUGCUGAAGCUGAAGCAGCUGAUGUGGAGCAGUCGGUUCUCGAGAACGUUCCACUCGGCGAGGACGCCAAUCGGGAUCUGCUCCGGGCGCACAUCCGCGUGGGCAAAGUUGGCCCUUUCAUCGGUCGACUGAGAGAAGUCGUCGGCCGAAUCGACAAGGAGCUUUGGCCAGAAGAUGAGUCGCGACAGGAGAUGGAGAACCUGAUGGCUCGACUGGAGGAGAUUCCGAACCGAGUGCAGUCGUGGAAGAAAUCUGCAGCUCGUUGUGGUGCAGAUGUUGCUCUGUCCCUGGUCCGAGUCCAUUGCAAGGAGGUGCGCGAGGAAAAGCUGAAGACAUUGAAGGUGGCCAACACGAAGAAACUUCGAUUCGAAGACUUCAUGGAAACCUUCCUUGAAAGUGCCACCCGCAUCGCCGACGGUAUUGAUCUGGACACGUUCGUAGAGCCCUCCAGUCCUGGCGCCGAUCCAAACAACGCGUAAGAAAACAUUAUCCUCGGUAUGCCGAGUGUCGCUGUGUAAGAAACUUUGGCCACUACUGUUGGCCGUUACAUUCUCGUUUCGGUGUGGGUAAGCUUGAUCCACACCGAGGCACUAUCUUUGGUUGAACUCCGAAUCGAAUCUUUUGCUCUUC
Long non-coding RNA from Hordeum vulgare subsp. vulgare (domesticated barley), 643 nucleotides. RefSeq lists it as uncharacterized. Lineage: Eukaryota; Viridiplantae; Streptophyta; Magnoliopsida; Poales; Poaceae. The record is from RefSeq and is a predicted model, not a curated record. The transcript has a single exon.